RNAcentral lists this ribosomal RNA (433 nucleotides) under uncultured bacterium. RNAcentral describes it as "partial 16S ribosomal RNA". It matches the Rfam family "Bacterial small subunit ribosomal RNA", at positions 29 to 507 of the family's 1533-position model. The record is from RNAcentral.
AAUGAACGCUGGCGGCAUGCCUAACACAUGCAAGUCGAACGAAGGCUUCGGCCUUAGUGGCGCACGGGUGCGUAACGCGUGGGAAUCUACCCUUAGGUUCGGAAUAACAGUUGGAAACGACUGCUAAUACCGGAUGAUGACGUAAGUCCAAAGAUUUAUCGCCUAGGGAUGAGCCCGCGUAGGAUUAGCUAGUUGGUGUGGUAAAGGCGCACCAAGGCGACGAUCCUUAGCUGGUCUGAGAGGAUGAUCAGCCACACUGGGACUGAGACACGGCCCAGGCUCCUACGGGAGGCAGCAGUGGGGAAUAUUGGACAAUGGGCGAAAGCCUGAUCCAGCAAUGCCGCGUGAGUGAUGAAGGCCUUAGGGUUGUAAAGCUCUUUUACCCGGGAUGAUAAUGACAGUACCGGGAGAAUAAGCUCCGGCUAACUCCGUG